This 253-nucleotide ribosomal RNA is filed under the name uncultured bacterium. RNAcentral describes it as "partial 16S ribosomal RNA". It matches the Rfam family "Bacterial small subunit ribosomal RNA", at positions 524 to 776 of the family's 1533-position model. The record is from RNAcentral.
GACGUAGGAGGCGAGCGUUGUCCGGAUUCAUUGGGCGUAAAGAGCACGCAGGCGGUUUGGCAAGUCGGAUGUGAAAACCCGAAGCUCAACUUCAGGCGUGCAUCCGAAACUGCCCGACUAGAGGUAGGUAGGGGAGAUCGGAAUUCCUGGUGUAGCGGUGAAAUGCGCAGAUAUCAGGAGGAACACCGGUGGCGAAGGCGGAUCUCUGGGCCUUACCUGACGCUCAGGUGCGAAAGCUAGGGGAGCGAACAGG